UAAGCACUGGCGCACUAUUGGUCAAACAAAAAACACAAAAACCCACACUCCCUGGAUAUAAGCAACUGCAAAAGAUCAUAUAAUCCAUUAAACACUGAUGAAAAAAGCCCUAUCACAUUACCUUGCCCCAUGCAUUUAAAUCACAAGCCCAAAAUGCAAGGUUCAGUCUGUAAGCUCACCUAGUACAGAGAAUGAGGCGAUAUUCAUCAUAGAUCCGAAGCUGACUUGUUUAUGACUACCCUCUUUUCAUCAUUCAGAUGUUUCCGCGCAAACAGACACAACCAAGGUACAAACACGUGCUGAGAAAGAUCCAUUAGUAGGUUCCUCAUCAUCCAUUGUUGAGUCUCUGCAAAAACAAAAAGAACAACAACGACAACAUAUUAUAUCGCUUUGUUACGAACCUAUGCAACAACAACAGCGGAACGAAACACACUAUAUAUAAAAAUAUGGAAUGAUUUGAAAAUGAA
This 467-nucleotide long non-coding RNA is filed under the name Triticum aestivum (bread wheat). RNAcentral describes it as "long non-coding RNA (TAES_LNC013229)". The record is from RNAcentral. Lineage: Eukaryota; Viridiplantae; Streptophyta; Magnoliopsida; Poales; Poaceae.